Molecule: long non-coding RNA, 3401 nt
Organism: Papaver somniferum (opium poppy)
Lineage: Eukaryota; Viridiplantae; Streptophyta; Magnoliopsida; Ranunculales; Papaveraceae
Exons: 8
Source: RefSeq, a predicted model, not a curated record
UCUAUCUAUAACUUCACAUACUCCUUCUUCUCGAGCAGCCAAAGUGGUUUACUGACCACAGCAUCAUCUUCUCAUGCUUUUACAAGUGCUUACAAUAUCUGCAUCUUCUUUUGUGGAUUCAGUCGUACUUGAAGGGUUUUUAGGUAAGAAGAGAUUUUGGAAUAAGUAAUUGAUUUUGUCACGAUUUUAGAAUUUAAAACUUAGGGUUCAUAUAUUUGAUGGUAAAUUUGGGGGAUUUUCAAUGUUGUCCAACAAAAGUUUAAAUUCGAUUCAGUCGCCAUUACCAAGACUACCUCAAUCAUCUCCCGUCUCCAUCAACAAAACAGUGGCAGAAGAUGAUGCAAACUUUUUAAUGCCAAGCCUCAUUCAUGUCUCAUACUUCCUUUUAAAUUAUGGGCCAGGUGGUAUAAGCAUUCAAAAUAACAGGCAUCCACCAGUUGUUUUCAAUAAAUUAUUUUUUGAAUAGGACAUAAAUGUUGACGGGAAUGGGAAGGGACUGGACUUGAAAAUCCCAAACUAAGGAUCAUUAUGGGACUAGAGAUCAAGUGAGCAAGGAGCCACAAGUGAUCAGUUACAACAGGUGGUUUUGGGGACAAUUGACCAUAUGGAUGCUGUCUUUGCAAUAUAGCGAAGCUGUUGAUUUCUUAUUUCGGCAGAUUUUUAUAAGUACGGUUUGCUAUCAAGGGAGCUUUAAAAGGUUUAAAAUGUACCUGGAUAUAUUUGAAAGAUGUAAUGCAUGCAUUGCUGGCAUUGGUACGUAGGAGUUGAUCUUGCACUUUAAGUUGGUAAAGCAUUAGCAAUAUAAGUUGUUUUUGUUGAGGCGUCUUUGUUUAAUCCAUUAUCAGUUUCUUUUGCUUAGGGUAUGAGAAAUAUUGGAGAGAAACCCGGGUUUGUUUGGAAAAGAUUCAAAUCGAUGCUACCGUUAAUUGGGGAGAAUCAAAAUGAAUGUGUAGGUUUUUAAGAAUGGGAAAGUUUAUGCAUAACUCAUGAAAUAGGUUCUUCAUUUAUAUGCCAAAAAAUAGUGAUACAUUUAUUGUUUUGCCGAUCCUGAAAUGAAAUAGGACCAAGUAGUAGUAAGUCUUUAGGAAGAAAAAUGCAGACCCGAUCGAAGCUUUUUGUGAUGUCAAAAUCCAAAGAUUUUUAGGCUUAUCGGUUAGCACAUUGGUGGAAAGAUGACUUAGAGCUUCAGAUGGCCAGCUCUUAACAACAAUAAGCUCAUAGAUAGAAAGCUCAAGUCUCUAUAUGCCCUCUCACUAAUUGUUCUACGAUUACUGUAAAUCGCAGCUGUGAAUUUAAAAGUUAUUCUCUAAUGAACUUAUAGGAUACUUCGAGAACAUGGGCCUGCUUGACCUCCUGAUCUCUGUGAAUGGUGAGACCUUGAACCAAGGUAAUUCAUUGUAUUUUAUUUUGCUGAAUAAAGGCCAACUUGAGUAAUAAAACUGUAGCUUCUAAUGCUACUGCUGCUAAAGCAGGUGAAUGAACUUUAAUCAAAUGUAUAUAUGUCUUCUGAUGUGAUGGGUGUAGCUCAUAUUCUUUAUUAUAUAUGUCAUCUAUUGUUACUUCAAUUACGUACACUCUAGAUUUAGCCCUCUUUCUCAGAGGAACGAAAUUUCCUCCUCUCACCUUUAGCAUACUUCACUGUAGCUUGCUUUGGAUUUUGAUGUGAAUUUCGACAAUCUCGGACUAUAUCAACAUGUGACUCACUUUCUUUACAAACCUCUCCAUUCACUAUCAUCUUAUUUUGUUUUAUUUCUUAUUGCAGCCAAGGGACCUCAUCAAACUAUGAAACAAACUAUGAAAGAACUCUUUCUUGAUGUUUUGAACGCAACUAACUUCUCAUUAGAAGUUCAAAUGCAAAAACAAGCAGUUAAUGAAAGCUGGAAGUCACUUCCUUUCAAGAACUUUUGGUAGGAGAACCCACUUUCAUUUUACAACAUUGAAUCAGAAGACAGAAGAGGUACCUGAAGCACUCUCCGAAGAGGUUCUUGGAAAGAUGGGUGCGCCACCAAAGACUGACGUGCCUAUUUUACUCCUAACGAUCUUGAUGAUUGCUUAUCUUUGUAUUCCCUACUCGAUUUGGAAUGAUGGAAGAUCAAUGCAAAGAUUUUCUAGACCCACAGGGGGUCUACGAAGAACAUAAUCUUUGGCUGGCAAACCCGCUGGAAUAUUCUACAGUACUGGGUCCCAAGGUGGUCGUCAGGAAACAACUGUAGACGGUGUGGGUGAAUGCAAUAAAGGAUGGUGAUGCUUGGGGAUGACUAGGGACGUCCAGGAAAGUUUAGCAUCCUAACUCGUUGUGGUCCAAAUAACUAUCUUGAUUUCUUUGGAGAACUUAGUAAGUUGCAGCAAACUGGAAGUGUUGAAGACUAUCAAAAUCAAUUUCAAAAGUUAUUAGCAAAAUCAGGUUCAGUACCACAAACCAGGCAAGUAAGUUUAUUCGUUAGUGGGUUGCAGGCAAAUAAACCAACAACACUGUCAGAAUCAAUUGGGUUGGCACGUUUGUUUGAGGCUCGUGAUAAGUCACAAGUGUUUGUUGUUACUCCAACAACAACUCAGGGAAAAAUUCCAGUAAGGCAGUUAACUACUUUGGAGUUACAAGAACGUAAGAAACAAGGACUAUGCUUCCAUUGUGAUGAGAAGUUCAGGCCGGCACAUCACUGCAAAAAUCUUUUUAUGAUUACUCCAGUGAUUGAAGAAAAAGAUGAAGAACUUUUCAUGGAGACUAACAGUCCAUAGCCUUGAGGACAGGGCUUUAAUUAUGGGAGGAGGAGUUGUUACAGUCAAUUUAAUGUUUGGUUUUGUUAGUCUUGUUGUUAGUCCUGUUUUGUUAGUGUUUGAAUUUCAUUUACUCAGUAGGAGUUGUUAGUCGUGAAUAAGUAAAGGAAAUCUGAUUUACCAAGUCAGAUUCAGUAAGUUACACCAUGUUUGUUUACUCCUGACUCAUCUGAGUCGUCUGGAUCUGAAUCAUCUGGAUCUGAGUGAAAUCACCUGACUCAUCUGGAUCUGAGUCGAUAUGUUUGUUUUGAGUCAGAUCUGACUCAUCUGACUCGGAAAUAAGUGAGUCAGUGGUUUGGUCCCAUGAGUCAGGGGUAUUUUGUUACCUGACUCAAAUGAGUCCGAGUCAGGGUUAUGUCUGAGUCAUAGGUCGAGUCAGAUCUGACUCAAAAUGGAAAACAAACGGUCUGACUGCUGACUCGGUCCGAGUCAGGGAUUGACUCAGAUUCAGACGCCGAGUCAGCUGCAAACAAACAAGUUUAGUCUUCCUAGUUAGUAAGAGUUAAUGUUUAUCAUGUUUUAGUGGAAGUAGUUUUCCCUAGUCUUUAGGAUCUAAAGAGUCGUGGGUAUAUGUAUCCUUUAUUUAAAGAUAUUGGAAAGUAAUGAAGGAUAUGGUUUUAAGUUUU